GAUGAACGCUGGCGGCGUGCCUAACACAUGCAAGUCGAGCGAACGGACGCGAAGCUUGCUGUUCUGAUGUUAGCGGCGGACGUGUGAGUAACACGUGUAUAACCUACCUAUAAGACUGAGAUCACUUCGGGAAACCGGCGCUAAUACCGGAUGAUAUUUUGAACCGCAUGGGUCAAAAGAGAAAGACGGUGUUUCUGGCACUUCUAGAUGGAUCCGCGCUGCAUUAGCUAGUUGGUAAGGUCACGGCUUACCAAGGCGACGAGGCGUAGACGACGUGAGAGGGUGAUCGGCCACACUGGAACUGAGACACGGUCCAGACUACUACGGGAGGCAGCAGUAGCGAAUGUUCCGCAACGGGCGAAAGCCUGACGGAGCAACGCCGCGUGAGUGAUGAAGGUCUUCGGAUCGUAAAACUCUGCUAUUAGUGAAGAACAUAUGUGUACGGAACUGAGCCGAUCUUGACGGUAACGAGUCAGAAAGCCACGGCUAACUACGUG
Molecule: ribosomal RNA, 497 nt
Filed under: uncultured bacterium
Lineage: Bacteria
Description: partial 16S ribosomal RNA
Rfam family: Bacterial small subunit ribosomal RNA
Source: RNAcentral